UACGAACCGUACGAACGUUAUUCGGAAUCACUGGGCUUAAAGAGUGCGUAGGCGGCUUGGUAAGUUGGAUGUGAAAUCCCUCGGCUCAACCGAGGAACUGCGUUCAAUACUGCCAAGCUUGAGGGGGAUAGGGGUGAGCGGAACUAAUGGUGGAGCGGUGAAAUGCGUUGAUAUCAUUAGGAACACCGGAGGCGAAGGCGGCUCACUGGGUCUCUUCUGACGCUGAGGCACGAAAGCUAGGGGAGCGAACGGGAUUAGAUACCCGCGUA
RNAcentral lists this ribosomal RNA (269 nucleotides) under uncultured prokaryote. Its description in RNAcentral is "partial 16S ribosomal RNA". It matches the Rfam family "Bacterial small subunit ribosomal RNA", at positions 524 to 792 of the family's 1533-position model. The record is from RNAcentral.